AAAUAACAACUGCACACAUUCAUUGCCUCUUUGUGUUAUGUAGCUCAUAGAAAUGUGCUCAAUAAAUGUUGUGCUUUAUUUCUCCUUAAAGGGUUAGUUCGCCCAGAAAAUAGAAUUCUAUCAUUAAUUACUCACCCUCAUGUCGUUCCAAACCCCUAAGAACUUCGUUUCAUCUUCAGAACACAAGUUAAGAUAUUUUAGAUGAAAUCCAAGAGCACUAUAGUGGUUCAGCUUUAAUUAUGAAGUGACGAUAAUACUUUCAACAAUUAAUUUUUUUCUGUGUCAGUCUCUGACAUGCAUUCACGAGAAGUGCUGAUGCAGGAGACAGCAUUUUGACAGAGACCCGAAUGCGCUAUUUUAACAAUGACUUUAAUACCUUUCUGUGGUGGUAGUGGCAUUGAUGUCUAUGGGGUAUUUCAUCAGUAAUAUCUUCAUUUGUGUUCCAAAGAUGAACGAAGGUCUUGUUGGUUUGGAAUGACUGUACCAGUCACACUGAAGCUCCUAUUCAAUAACUUAUACCAUGGUCUGUCUGGAUAUUCUGAUUGGCUGGCAGGUUCUGAGUUUAUGUCAGAAGUGUAGCUGGCCUUCUUCCAGUUGUUGGCUACAUUCUGAAAAGAUGCUGGAAAAAGAAAUGCAGGAUUCUUGCUCUGUGUCGGGUCCACCCUUUCUCUGGCUGUGGUGCCUCCAUUGUCCUAACACUCUUCAGCAACCUGUCAAGGUCUUUAUAUGGUGGCCACCAGGAGUAGCCAUCUGCAUACCAGGACUUGGCAGCUGGUCCAGUCGUCCCUUCUCCCUCAAACUCCACGAUUAGAAAUCAACUGUUGUUGAGAGGUCAUCCACUAAAUGAAUGCCAAGUGUAGAGGAUGGCAGUGGAUAGUCAAACAAGGAUUCCUGGUGGUUGAAGGUAUUGUAAGCAACAUAAAUUUCAUCCCUGAAUGAAAUGAUGUUUUGCAGCUUAGCAACUUUGCCGGCAAUGCAAACGUGACUGUUUGCCUGAUCCAAUUUCAGAGUGUGUUGGCUUGUUCUCAACUCUUUAUAUUGUGUCACCUCAUGGAAGGAUGCAGGAUGCAGGAAGAGGACCAGUCGCAUGUGGUUUUUUUGAGCAGAUGUGGCCUGGUUUUGUGAGUUUUUUUGCAGCAUCUUUGCAUUUCUGAGAGUCUUUUUACUAUUUGACUGAGUGGGCAUGUUGGUUUCCUCCGAAGUCUUUUGAGUUUGUUUAGGUGAUUCUCAUACUUGAAAGCACUGAAGUUGUCAAGGACACCAUGCUUUUUCGCAUCAUCUGCAAGAUGUACAAGACAGUGUGCAUUGUAGGACAAGAAUUGUGGACCAUACAGUUGACCAAAGUGAGAGACAACGAGCACCACCUACAAGUCAGAGGACCCAUCUUCAGCCACAAGAGAAGAAGCCAUCUCAUGAUGGUGCAUGUAGUCGAGGGGGAAACCAGAGACCAUGUUUAGGGAUGUUUCUUCAAGAGUGUCCCUAGGAUGGGCCAGAACUGUGAUGCUGAGCUCUUAUAAAGUGGCAAACCAUCAACGCUGACCUGAAGCUCCGGCGUGUGAAUGUUGUGCAGAAUGUCAACAUUCUGAUGUAGCACCUCUGCAAUUGAAUUAGGCACUCCGAAAUGGUAAUACUGGCCACCAGCCUUGUCUUGUAUUUCAGGGUUCAAACGCACAGUUCUUAGCAAUAUCCUCGAGUCUUUUGGCAGAUUUAAACUGUGUAGCCGUAGAAUGUUGAGCAAUGAAUUCAAUGCCACGUGUGAUUUUGUGUUCAGUAGCCCAGGAUGCCAAAUCAUCAUUUAAUGAAUUUGGAUCUGAUUCUGUGUCUGAUUCACUGUCAUCAGGAACACUUCUGACAUCUCAUCAACAUGAGAGAGACAGUCCAUUAAUGUAUCUUCAUCAUCAUUUUGACCUUGAACGGUUUUACUGUGCAUCCAACCCAAUUCUUUCCCCCAAGUUGUUGCCUGUAUUGUCUGCAGUUGCUGAUCCACCUUGUCCUUUGCUUUCCGUCUCAGUGUCCAAUAGGAUGGUUCAUUUGAAGCCAUAGUAUUAAGACCUUAAUACAAACAAACCUAUUUUUUUGUUGUUUGUUUACUGGCCUACCAAGUCAUAUGCAUUAACAUAAUGUACAUACCUUUAGUUGGUUGACGGAUGGUAAUGGAUAACUUUCUGUAGUCAAAUUAAACAAAGGACAUAGUUAAAUGCUGAAAUUUAAAAUGACUACAUAAAUAUACUAUUACAUAUCUAAAUUUUAAUCAGAGAUUGACAGUCUUCUGUAAUUGAGGUUUAAACAUAGAUUAAAUUCUCUUUUCAUCACAGU
Carassius gibelio (silver crucian carp) is the source of this 2316-nucleotide long non-coding RNA. RefSeq lists it as uncharacterized. The transcript has 6 exons. The record is from RefSeq and is a predicted model, not a curated record. Lineage: Eukaryota; Metazoa; Chordata; Actinopteri; Cypriniformes; Cyprinidae.